This 2358-nucleotide ribosomal RNA is filed under the name Triticum aestivum (bread wheat). RNAcentral's name for it is "partial small subunit ribosomal RNA". The record is from RNAcentral. Lineage: Eukaryota; Viridiplantae; Streptophyta; Magnoliopsida; Poales; Poaceae.
AUGGACGACGCCUGCGCCGUCUGCGCGGAGCGGCUCGAAUGGGUGGCCUACGGCGCCUGCGGCCACCGCGAGGUCUGCUCCGCCUGCGUCACCCGCCUCCGCUUCGUCCUCCGCGACCAGCGCUGCUGCCUCUGCAUGACCCACUGCCCCGCCGUCUUCGCCACCAAGGAAAUGGGGGACCGCACCAAGGCGAUCGGCGAUCUCUCGGCGCUGCCGGCCGCGGCCGGCGAGGGGAAGACCGGGGACUACUGGUACCACGAGGCCACGCAGGUGUGGUUCGACGACGCUGACCAUUACAGGAUGGUAAGGGCGAUUUGCCGGAUCUCCUGCACCGUCUGCGAAAGCAGUGGUAACAAGGGGAAGAAGGGCAGUAAGUCGUCCAAGGCGAAACACAAGAUCAAGUUCGAGACCAUCGAGCAGCUCAAAGCCCAUCUGUCCAACAAGCAUUGCUUGUACAUGUGCGACCUCUGCUUGGAUGGGAGGAAGGUAUUUAUUUGCGAGCAGAAACUUUAUACAAGGCCUCAAUUAAAUCAGCACAUAAAAACCGGUGAUUCAGAGGUGGAUGGCUCGGAAGUUGAGCGCAGGGGUUUUGCAGGGCACCCGAUGUGCAAGUUUUGUAGAAGCCCAUUUUAUGGAGAGACUGAGCUAGAUACACAUUUGACAAGAGAACAUUAUUCUUGUCACAUAUGUCAGAGGCAGCACGGUGGGCAGGAUGAUUAUUUCAGGAACUAUGAUGACUUAGAGACCGCCGCUGGUGCUGUGGUGCAUAUGUUGCAUUCGCGUGCAUCAGGCACAAGGAGAGUUGCACCCCGUCAUGCACUCAUGAGUCUGACAGUGCGUACGUAUAUGCAGCAAAAAUGGUACGGUGCUCCUAAAGUCCGUUUGUGCAUGCAUCUGAAUGGACGCCGUGUUUAUAUUUGCAGUACUAGAACUUGUCAUCUUCACGCGAGGCCGUUGCAAGCUUGUGAGAUGCAUUUCCGAAGAGACCAUUUCUUCUGCGAGGACAGAGAGUGCUUGGAGAAGAAGUUCAUUGUCUUCCAAAGUGAAGCAGAGCUUAAGAGGCACAAUGCUGUGGAGCAUAGGAAGCGCAUGCCUCAUGCACAGAAGAAUUCUGCUCUCCAGACACCAACCAGUUCUAGAGACCGGAGCGAGCUAGAGCAGAGUAAUGGCAGAGGUAGAAGGCACAACGCUUGCCUCCCCAAUGGUUCUGUUGACAAUACCUUGCUGUCUGUUCAGAAUGGCAUUGCAAAUAUGGGCCGUGGCUCAGGAAAUCAAGUUGCUGCUGUUGUGUCUCCCUUGCGAUCUAGUUCUGGGCACUCAUCACAAGCAGGCCAAAGCUCUGGGAUGAACCGUGUUUGGCAGCAACCACACUUUCCUCCCCUCUCCCGCCAGGAGGUUCCUGAUGCAAGAAUAGGUUCCUGUUUUCAAGAAGCUCCAUCCCCUCCCAUAUCAGGGCAAUCAGGGUAUACACCAUUUGCCAGUCGGAGCUCACGGACUGCUGCACGCGCAAUGGAUUUGGAAUUCCCUCCUUUAUCAGGCAGUAAUAACAGAACUGCUGCGUCAACAGAGCAGGGGGUACGAAAGGUAGCUGAGAACACUCAUGCAUUUGGGCUCCGACAACAAAGCAACGGAAUUGUGAAUACACACCAUUCUGCUCAGCAUUGGUCCCUUAAAAAUACUGAUUUGAUCCCUUCUGGUUCAAGUCACUCCCCAAGUUGGCCUACACCCAACACAAGUCCUCACGUUAGUGGAUCGCUGAGUCUGACUUCUGCAGGAAAUGGAAGGCAAGAAACACCUGUGAGCCGCCAGGUGUUGUGCUCUGUGGAUGAUGUUCGUGCAGCGAAUAAUUCAUUGGUUGAAAGAAUGCAGGCUGCAUUAGGAAUGGACCGGGACAGGUACUCGAUGUUCAAAGAGAUCUCUGGGGAGUACCGUCAAGGCGUUAUCAAUGCUUCAAAGUACCUUUCAUAUGUCGAACAAUUUGGUCUGUCGCACCUCGUUCUUGAAAUGUCCAGGUUGCUGCCUGAUCCUCAAAAGCAGAAGGAGCUUGCUGAUGCCUACUACGCGAAUUUGCGCCUUACAAGCCUCCAAGGAAACGGUGGCGGUGGAGCUGUUUGCUCGAAAGAAAGCACCCGGAAAAAUAAGGGGAAGGGGAAACUUCCUGCUGCUGCACAGGAUUUGUUAGAAGAUAAGCUCCUGAGUGCUGCCAGCAAGCUUCAGUCGCAGGUGGGAGGCUCUAGAGCGCCGUUGAGAGAAGGGUGUGGAGCAGCCGAUGGACCUUUGCAGGAGCCGAGGUGGCCUGUGAAGGGUGCUUGGCAAAACCGUGGGGGGCAGAGACUCGUGAGCAAGGCGAAGAAGUAA